CAAAAUACAACCCAAAAACCAAGACAUAGCCAUAAAGUAAAAGAAACCCUAAACAAAAGCACAUCAGGAGGAUUUCUUCAAUACAUCUCCGAGUUCAAUCCUGUUAAGGAAAACAAAUCUACAGGGUGAGCAAAAACGCUCGUGAGGCCAAGAACACGCAUGCAGGCACAUAGUUCAAAUAACAAACCCAAGUAACAAUUCAAGUAAUAGCUUGCAAGUAAUUAAUAAUGCCAACCAAAAUGUAACCAGAAAUAAUUCAAGGAUAUGGUAGCUCUCAGGAGCUAAAUUCCACUUGCUUUGCCAGUUCAUUCGUAUAUCUUCCCGUGAUGACUCUCCGUUAACCGGGUUGAUAUUUCAUAUCCGUAGUUCACCACUUACUUCUCAUCCGUCCACCAUACACCGCUUCGGGCCCGCACGACAUUUAUAAGGCUAUAUUUCACGAGUAUGCCAAGCAAGAUCUCUCAAAUAGAUCAAGCUUAUCAUGCAAUUCUCAUGGCUCACCGAUGGUUCCGACCAAUCCCAUGCCGGCUCGAGUUCCAAGGUCGGCCUAUGAGUUUGGGCGUCCCCCAUGUGUCAUGUAAGUGUCGAGGAGAUUCCCUCCAACGACGUAUGCAGCCAUAGCAUACCAUAUCAUGUAUUCAAGCAUUUGACAGGUCUAAGCAUGUAUUUCAGGUCAUGUAAAUCAGGCAAACCAUGUUAAGCAUGAGUCAUUUGUUUCAAAUGAGAACGAGUGCGAUAAAGUACACACUCGACUCCAUUUUUCAAAACCAUGUAGGCUAAGCAUGUAAUCAGGUAAGCCAAGCAUGAAUCAAGUCCAUAGAGUUCAAGUAGUCAUACACUUGACACUCACCGAGCAAAUCAAGAAGAAAUAUUUUCUGGAAGUUCAAGUGUGCACGGUAGGAUCCUCUUGAAGGUCCUCGUGUGCGCCUGGCAAAUAAUAACGUAUUAUCAUUCAUAUAUCCCAAUUAUCAAGAAAGAUUGUACACUAGUAAAAUCUAAGGAAAUUCCACGAAAUCGAACCUCAAUUACUCGUAAAUCGAGAUUCAAUUAGAGUUUCUUAAAGUACAGGAGCAUUUGGAUUUUUAUCUUGGAAAUCGGGGAUAAAACGUUUAGAUAAUAUCAAAAGAAUAAAGAGUUCUUGAAAAACUCUAUUUCCUUGAAAGUUGGAAAAUUUCAGUUUUGUUAUGAAUCUUUGAAGUUGGAUUUUCAAAAAGGUGCAGGACUCGAGUAAAAUCGGAUUAUUAUCCUUGGAAUCAUUGGUUGGAAACGAGUACGAACGAAACGAUUGCAAAACGAACGAUCGAAAUCGGAAGUGGACUGGGCACGUCACAAUCCGGCCGGAAUCUCCGGAUUCUUGGCCGGAUUGGAGGCAGUAGCCAUCCUCAUUUUUUUCAAAUCCCCACUACAAUCCGGCCAGAAACUGGCCGGAUUCAAGGCCGGAUUCUAUAACAAUGCUUCCCGCGCGGAUUUCUUUUGAAAUUCCAGAAUUUUUGAUUUUUGGUAAAAUCUUUGAAAAAUCAUAACUUCUUUUGUACUAGUCAAAAAUUGAUAAAUUUGGUACCGUUGGAAUCGUCUUCCAAAGUACUAAAAUUUCCUAGAAGAGACCUUUCCACGAAUCUAAGUGGAAAGCACUUAAAUUUUGGCUCAAAGUUGGUAACUUGAGUUACCAAGGUAGUUUUAAGUUGGAUUUUGGCCAACUUUGGAAAUUCGGCAAAAGUCACACGUUGUAAGUUAGCAUCUGAAAUUUAUAACUCAAUUAGAGUUGCAAGUGGUGUUUAUAGCAGAGCAAGCGGAUCGAGAAUCGGAGUUUCGAGUACCGAAAUAUGGUAGCUCAAAAUUGGGUAAAAUUCAAGAUUGUUAACAAAUUUUCAGAUUUGGUUCCGACUUUGGAUCUUUAGUUAAGUGUCGAAACGGACUUGGAUUGAUACCAAAUUUUGCAGUAUAAUACUCCUAUAUGAAGGGUAUCUCUCUAUCAAAUUUCGUGGAAAAAUACCUUCGGGAAGGUAGUUAACCAAUCAACCAAAGUUUGGAAAAAUUCUUAAGGCAAUCUGCCUUUAAUCCUUUUCUUCCCAAAUCCAAUCAUUUGGCUAUGAAAAUCCUCCAAUCAUGGUUCAUAUGUAAAAGUAAAGUCUAAGGAUCAUUCAUGGUACAUUUGGUAUGUGUUUAACACCAAAAAUUUCGUUUAGUAAGACCACAACAGUCUCAUCUCAAAUCUGUCCAAAACUAGGCUUUUUCCAAAACAAAGCAGCGUUCUUGUUUUGAUCACAAUUCAGUCGACCUAAGUCGGAAUUGAGCAUGGUUUACGGUGUUGGAAAAUGAAUUCAUAGGACUAUAAUUUCACAGAAGAAAUCGUUUUAAGUUUCAGCAUGCAACUAGCUCGAAAUUAAGCAUAAAGUUGCAGCAUCAUCAAAUCAUUUCGGCAGAACGGCAAAACAGGGCAGCUGAAUUCAGAUGAGUGGUACGGUUCACACACAUGGAACCAGAACAUGCAUUAUAUACUGUUGGAAAGAUGGGAAUGUCUAGUUUCAAAUGCCACUAACGGAACUUGAUUUCGACGUCGGAGUACGGAGUUAUGGACGAAUCACGAACACUGGUCUGGAUUAUGACGAAACCGUUUUCCAGAUUACUAGCAUUGGGAAUAAAUUCGUUUGAUCAACCAAAACUCAGUAUUUUUCAAUGAAAAUUUUUACACAACUACUACAACAUGUAAAAAAUACAAUCAAGCCAUUAAAUCCUCAAAUUUCUGCAUUAAAGUGACCGAACAGAGCAGGGGCAAAAUGGUCAGAUUUGGCCUUUGCACCUAACGUAAGUUUCUUUCAUAUUUCCAGCAACAAACCACUGAUUUAAGCACUAAUCCAACAUUAUAAACAUCAUCAGGCACAAAAUCAGUAGCAACCCAAGAGUGGGAGUUCAUAGAGCCCACUUUUUCAAUUUUUCCAACAACAACCACAACCCAUAUGCAAAUUCAAGCUCAUAAGUGUAAUCCUACUCUUAAAAACUAAGUUUAGAGUGUUGGAUCAUUACCUACUUUGAUGGUGGUUCAAGUCAGAAUUUCGGCCCUUUGAAGCCUGAAGAAAACCGUGGAUAGCUCCUUCCUUUUGCAGCUAGAUGGACUUCCCAAGUAUUGAGCUAGGUGUAGUUAAGUUUUGAGAGAAUUUGGUGGUGGUUUGAGUGAGUUUAGAAGAGGGAAUGUUGAAGAGUUUUUGGUUGUUUCUCUGCAGCAGCUGGCCGACCAUGAAGCUUGAAGAUAAGAAAUGUUUUG
Molecule: long non-coding RNA, 3262 nt
Filed under: Coffea arabica (coffee)
Lineage: Eukaryota; Viridiplantae; Streptophyta; Magnoliopsida; Gentianales; Rubiaceae
Description: long non-coding RNA (CARA_LNC005095)
Source: RNAcentral